UCAAGUGAAUAAGAGCAUAAGGCGGAUGCCUUGGCACUGGGAGCCGACGAAGGACGUGACAAGCUGCGAUAAGCUACGGGGAGGAGCACAUAUCCGUCAAUCCGUAGAUUUCCGAAUGGGGGAACCCACCUAUAGUAAUGUGUAGGUAUUUUCGUAUGAAUCUAUAGUACGAAUAAAGGCAACCCGGGGAACUGAAACAUCUAAGUACCCGGAGGAAGAGAAAGAAAAAUCGAUUUCCUAAGUAGCGGCGAGCGAAAGGGAAAGAGGCCAAACCGUUAGUUUACUAACGGGGUUGUGGAUCACAGCCGUGGUAGAUACAAGUUUAGCAGAAGACAACUGGAAAGUUUGCGACACAGAGGGUAAUAUCCCCGUAUGCGAAAAAUGAGUAUCACCUAUGUGACACCAGAGUAGGACCGAACACGUGGAAUUCGGUUUGAAGCCGGGGGGCCCACCCCCCAAGCCUAAAUACUACCCAGUGACCGAUAGUGAAUAGUACCGUGAGGGAAAGGUGAAAAGGACCCCGGGAGGGGAGUGAAAUAGAACCUGAAACCUUAUGCUUACAAGCAGAGGGAGCGCAAGUGACCUCGUACUUUUUGUAGAACGGGCCAACGAGUUAUGGUAUGCAGCGAGGUUAAGGUGCUGGAGCACUGGAGCCGUAGAGAAAUCGAGUCUGAAAGGGCGAAAGUUGCAUGCUGUAGACCCGAAACCGGGUGAUCUAUCCAUGUCCAGGUUGAAGUAACUGUAAUAGGUUAUGGAGGACCGAACUUAUAUCUGUUGAAAAAGGUUAGGAUGAGGUGUGGAUAGGGGUGAAAUUCCAAUCGAACUCGGAUAUAGCUGGUUCUCCUCGAAAUAGCUUUAGGGCUAGCCUCGUAGUAAGAUACCUGGGGGUAGAGCACUGAAUGUUCUAGGGGCCUUCACCGGUUACCGAAAACUAUCAAACUCCGAAUACCAGAGUAUCAUCUACGGGAGUCAGACUAUGUGAGAUAAGUUUCAUAGUCGAAAGGGAAACAGCCCAGACCGUCAGCUAAGGUCCCAAAAUAUAGGUUAAGUGGAAAAGGAUGUGGGGUUGCACAGACAGCUAGGAUGUUGGCUUAGAAGCAGCCAUUCAUUCAAAGAGUGCGUAAUAGCUCACUAGUCGAGUGACCCUGCGCCGAAGAUAAACGGGGCUAAAACCUAUUACCGAAGCUACGGAUACUUAAUGUAUGGUAGAGGAGCGUCGUAUACGGGUUGAAGCAGUACUGUAAGGUAUUGUGGACUUUAUACGAGAGAGAAUGUUGGCAUGAGUAGCGCGAGGCAGGUGAGAAUCCUGCCCACCGAAAAUCUAAGGUUUCCUGAGGAAGGUUCGUCCACUCAGGGUUAGUCGGGGCCUAAGCCGAGGGCGAAAGCCAUAGGCGAUGGAUAACAGGUAGAAAUUCCUGUACCACCGAAGGUUGUUUGAAUGAUGUGGGGACACAGGAGGAUAAGCUGAGCACGCCGUUGGUAGAGCGUGUCCAAGCGUCAAGGGAGUAUGAAUAGGCAAAUCCGUUCAUAUAUAUUCUGAGGCGUGAUGGGGUGGUCAAUAGACCGGAAGCAGCUGAUUUCACACUGUCAAGAAAAGCCGCUAAUUAGACCUAAGGUGCCCGUACCGCAAACCGACACAGGUAGAUGAGGAGAGAAUCCUAAGGUGAGCGAGCGAACUAUUGUUAAGGAACUCGGCAAAAUAACCCCGUAACUUCGGGAGAAGGGGUGCCUGCUUCGGCAGGCCGCAGUGAAAAGGCCCAGGCAACUGUUUACCAAAAACACAGGUCUCUGCAAAAGCGAAAGCUGAAGUAUAGGGGCUGACGCCUGCCCGGUGCUGGAAGGUUAAGGGGACGUGUCAUCGCAAGAGAAGCACUGAACUUAAGCCCCAGUAAACGGCGGCCGUAACUAUAACGGUCCUAAGGUAGCGAAAUUCCUUGUCGGGUAAGUUCCGACCCGCACGAAAGGCGUAAUGAUUUG
This 1977-nucleotide ribosomal RNA is filed under the name human metagenome. RNAcentral describes it as "bacterial LSU rRNA". It matches the Rfam family "Bacterial large subunit ribosomal RNA", at positions 3 to 2011 of the family's 2925-position model. The record is from RNAcentral.